Long non-coding RNA from Populus euphratica (Euphrates poplar), 914 nucleotides. RefSeq lists it as uncharacterized. The record is from RefSeq and is a predicted model, not a curated record. Lineage: Eukaryota; Viridiplantae; Streptophyta; Magnoliopsida; Malpighiales; Salicaceae. The transcript is spliced from 2 exons.
AUUUGGACGUCGGGGAACUACAUUCUAAUAUUCCAAUGUUAUCUUACUUUUGAAUCUAUUUGCAGUCAAUUGGUGCCACUAUCCUCAAUUAAAUAAAAAUUAAAAUGUUGGUUUGAACCAUUUUUCGGUCAAAAGAAAAUUGAAGAUUCAUCGAAGGAUUGUUUUCAUCUUUAUGGACGUCCUCAAAUAAUCGCAGAGGAGCAUGAAUUAAUCAAUUUGCUUGCUUGAAAUCAAACAGAAUAACGGGUGUUUGUUUUCUGCUAGGUUAGAACCGUUCUUAUGAUGAUUCCGAAUCUCAAGAUUGGUUAAAUUGCUACCAAACGGAUGUUUGGAAGUUCUAUUCCAUGUGUUUAGAUUCCUCUACCCUAGUGCUCGUCAGUUUAAGGUGUCGUUUUUGUGGAAUGGAGAGGAAUUUGGUCUUCGAUUUGUAGUCUCUAUGCUGGUUUUUACGUAGUUCAAGAAUUGUUAUAAGAAAUCAAGAAUGCUCUAAGAUCUGGAGAAAGCUUUGAAUGAUCUCUUCGGUUGCUUCCAUCUCAAUUAUCAGCAAUUCAUCAAUCAGGGAGAUAUCUAACGAUUGUGGUGCGUCACUUGGGAAUUAUUUCUACAUUAGGACGAUAUGAAAUCUGGUAUCUGGUCUCUGAUGCUGAACGUGGCCACAGUUGAUUUUAGAUGCUAUUUUUCUGUCCAGUUAGCUACUCAAGAAGGGUAGGUGGCUUGGUGUGUGGACGAGCUUCCUGCUUUCUAUUCGGGUUGCUCUUUCUUUUCCGAAGUGUUAUUGUGAUUUUCGCUUCCUUCGGUAGAACUGGUGAAAAAGCGGCCGCUACAGUUUAUAAGGAUUUUGAGUUUCCAAAGUUGUCAGUAGUCAUGAAAAGCUGAAUCAGCAUACAUUAUAUAUAACCUGGAUUUUCAUUUCU